Molecule: ribosomal RNA, 497 nt
Filed under: uncultured bacterium
Lineage: Bacteria
Description: partial 16S ribosomal RNA
Rfam family: Bacterial small subunit ribosomal RNA
Source: RNAcentral
GAUGAACGCUGGCGGCGUGCCUAAUACAUGCAAGUCGAGCGAACAGACGAGGAGCUUGCUCCUCUGACGUGAGCGGCGGACGGGUGAGUAACACGUGGAUAACCUACCUAUAAGACUGGGAUAACUUCGGGAAACCGGAGCUAAUACCGGAUAAUAUAUUGAACCGCAUGGAUCAAUAGUGAAAGACGGUUUUGAUGUCACUUAGAGAUGGAUCCGCGCCGCAUUAGCUAGUUGGUAAGGUAACGGCUUACCAAGGCAACGAUGCGUAGCCGACCUGAGAGGGUGAUCGGCCACACUGGAACUGAGACACGGUCCAGACUCCUACGGGAGGCAGCAGUAGGGAAUCUUCCGCAAUGGGCGAAAGCCUGACGGAGCAACGCCGCGUGAGUGAUGAAGGUCUUCGGAUCGUAAAACUCUGUUAUUAGGGAAGAACAAAUGUGUAAGUAACUAUGCACGUCUUGACGGUACCUAAUCAGAAAGCCACGGCUAACUACGUG